This 425-nucleotide ribosomal RNA is filed under the name uncultured prokaryote. RNAcentral describes it as "bacterial SSU rRNA". It matches the Rfam family "Bacterial small subunit ribosomal RNA", at positions 355 to 796 of the family's 1533-position model. The record is from RNAcentral.
CAGGGAAUCUUGCGCAAUGGGCGAAAGCCUGACGCAGCGACACCGCGUGGGGGAUGAAGGCUUUCGAGUUGUAAACCCCUUUUCUCGGGGAUGAGAAAGGACAGUACCCGGGGAAUAAGGUUCGGCUAACUACGUGCCAGCAGCCGCGGUAACACGUAGGAACCAAGCGUUGUCCGGAUUUACUGGGCGUAAAGUGCGCGUAGGCGGUCCGUUAAGUCUCAUGUGAAAUCUCCCGGCUCAACUGGGAGGGGUCAUGGGAUACUGGCAGACUUGAGUGCAGCAGAGGGGAGUGGAAUUCCCGGAGUAGUGGUGGAAUGCGUAGAUACCGGGAGGAACACCAGAGGCGAAGGCGACUCCCUGGGCUGUGUCUGACGCUGAGGCGCGAAAGCGUGGGUAGCAAACCGGAUUAGAUACCCCCGUAGUCC